ACAGUGGCAGGGCUGGAAGACAGUCAUACCCCGAGGAAAAUGUGACCCCCAAAGAAGUCAGGGCUACUGCAGGGCAAUCACUAGACACAUCUGGUUCCACCAAGUCUUAGGGGAUCCCGUUAGACGGCAGCAGUCCCUCUGAUGGCUUCUUCCUGUCGUUGGGCCACUCUGAGGCAUGAGAAAGAAGAGGUCCGGGGGGCAAUGGUGGGUCAGUGGUGCAGAAGAGCCUGGGUGGAGGUGGGCGGUGAUGGCCUGGGCUCGCUCUGUGGCUCUCAGGGAGGCUGCCUUUCCUUCCACCUCGACACACCGGCCCUCUCCCACAUUUUACUUUUCAGAUGGAGGCUCCACUUUUUAGUGUCAGCUGCUUUUUCACCGGUCCCGUUCCCUCUACCACCAACCUUGUCAUUUGACUUGAGUAUCCUGGUCUUCGUCAUUUGGCUUGACUAUUCUGGUCUUCAUUCCCUGUCCCUUGAGGUGUGGGUGUGGCAGGUCCCCUAUGCACUCAUGUCCAUCAGCAUGACAAUUGCAAUCAAGUUCUGCUUUUUAGGUUCCAAAGGAAGCUGGAGAUGACCUAGAGCCUUUGGCUUCUCCGCCUAACAUCCGCUUGGGCAGCAGGGAAGGGGAGAGAAGGAGAACACGAAGUGAGGCAUGGGAAUGAGACAAUGGUGGGAAAAGAGGACGCUGGAAGGAAGAUCUACUCUUCCAGUCUGCAGGUGGCCCCCGAGGAGCCGCAGUAGGUCAUGCAUCCCCAAAGAACAUUCAAGUCUGAGCCUCAAGGAGCCUCUGCGACUCGGUGUCUAGAUCCAGGAAAUGGAGAAUGAGCCGUGACUUUGGAUGCUUCACUCUUGUCCAUCAGGCUCGGAAUUGGUGAGCAUCUCCCACAUUACCGUCUCCAACGGAACAAGGUGCCCCAUUGGACAUUUCCUCUGCAUGGACCAGCCAUUCUCCAAAUCUGCCCCCAUGUCACCCCAGCUCCCCAUCGCAGUCACUUCUCACUCCUUGUCCCCUGUCCCCCUGAGUGACAGGACUUUUGCCAGUUAGGUCCUGUCCCUGUUUCUGAUCUUGGGUCCAUUCCCCAUGGUCCCUUUCUUGCUUGUGCCUUGGGAUCUCAGGCCUGUUGAAGUAGGAGGCAGGACUCAACUUCAGACCAGAUUGAAGACUGGCUGACACAGAAGAGGCACCAAAAGCACCUCUCUCUCCAUAAGACAUGCCCACCAGUGCCAUGACAGUUUACCAUUGCUAUGGCAAUGCCCAGAAGUUCUCACCCCUUUUCCAGACAUUUCUGCAUAAUCUACCCCUCAAUUGGCAUGUGAUCAAAAGUGGGUGUCAAAAUGACUGUGGAACUGUCCCUGAGCUGCUACUCUUGACAUGCUGGUUACAGGGUAGCCCGGCUCUGCAGGGACAGUCACGGAGCUGAAAAACUGCUGCCUAAUGAAGCUGUUUUCUUCUA
This 1450-nucleotide long non-coding RNA is filed under the name Homo sapiens (human). RNAcentral describes it as "HSALNT0333904". Lineage: Eukaryota; Metazoa; Chordata; Mammalia; Primates; Hominidae. The record is from RNAcentral.